Molecule: microRNA precursor, 208 nt
Organism: Oryza rufipogon (brownbeard rice)
Lineage: Eukaryota; Viridiplantae; Streptophyta; Magnoliopsida; Poales; Poaceae
Rfam family: MIR812 microRNA precursor family
Source: Rfam
CAAAAGCCAAACCCUGAAUUUUCGUGUCCAACGUUUGAUCGUCCGUCUUAUAUAAAACUUUUUUAUAAUUCAUAUUUUUAUUGUUGUUAGAUGAUAAAAUAUAAAUAAUAUUUUAUAUGGGACUUGUCUUUUUUAACUUUUUUCAUAAUUUUUUCAAAUAAAACGAACGGUCAAACGUUCGACACAGAAACCUAGGAUUUAUCUUUUA